Asterias rubens (European starfish) is the source of this 540-nucleotide long non-coding RNA. RefSeq lists it as uncharacterized. NCBI's taxonomy places the organism in Eukaryota, Metazoa, Echinodermata, Asteroidea, Forcipulatida, Asteriidae. The transcript has 4 exons. The record is from RefSeq and is a predicted model, not a curated record.
UGUAAACAGGAAAGAUGUGCACUGUCAAAAUGUCGUCUGCUAGAUGCGUGUGUUCAAACUCAAAAUGCUUUCACUGCAAACGCCGAUGGAUCGCAUUGCCCUGGACUGUUCAAGUCAUGGUGAUGAACUUAUCAAAUUCAAGGACUAGCAGUCUCACCAUUCAUCAAUUAUGAACUUCGUCGCUUGAAAUUAUAAUGAACACUCAAGAUGAUGACAAGCAUUGGUAUAAAAGAUGCGCCCGCCUGACUGAAGAGAGCCUGUGAGAUGCUGCCUCGUCAUGACUUCAAAUACGUCAUCUUCUCAGCGUCUCAAGCUAAUUCAGUUCACCUUUGUGAUUCAUUCAAUACUAAGAUGUUAAGGUGGUGUCCUGGCCGGGGCUCGAACCCGCACAGAUGUCUCCAGUGUAGUCCUCCGAAGCCGUCUCCCUAUCCGCUAGGCUAUGGCGUCUUCCGGGUUGGAAAAAAAUUUUUUGAGGUGGUAAACAUUAGAACGAAAUGUGACGUACACAUGUAUUAUACGCGUAUACACAGUAGCGAUUAG